RNAcentral lists this ribosomal RNA (253 nucleotides) under uncultured bacterium. RNAcentral describes it as "partial 16S ribosomal RNA". It matches the Rfam family "Bacterial small subunit ribosomal RNA", at positions 524 to 776 of the family's 1533-position model. The record is from RNAcentral.
UACGUAGGUGGCGAGCGUUGUCCGGAUUUACUGGGCGUAAAGGGAGCGUAGGCGGACUUUUAAGUGAGAUGUGAAGUAUUCGGGCUCAACUUGAGUGCUGCAUUUCAAACUGGAAGUCUAGAGUGCAGGAGAGGAGAAUGGAAUUCCUAGUGUAGCGGUGAAAUGCGUAGAGAUUAGGAAGAACACCAGUGGCGAAGGCGAUUCUCUGGACUGUAACUGACGCUGAGGCUCGAAAGCGUGGGGAGCAAACAGG